ACUUUACAAUGCGGGACACCGCGAUAAGGGGACCUCGAGUGCUGGCAUACAAUGCUGGCUGUCCAGCUGCCUAAAUAGCAGUUGAUAGCAAGGGCCGGGCAAGACCGGUGCCAGCCGCCGCGGUAACACCGGCGGCUCGAGUGGUAACCGCUAUUAUUGGGUCUAAAGGGUCUGUAGCCUGCAGGUUAAGUCUCUUGGUAAAUCCGGCAGCUCAACUGUCGGGGUUCAGGGGAUACUGGUCUGCUCGGGACCGGGAGAGGUGAGAGGUACCUCAGGGGUAGGGGUGAAAUCUUGUAAUCCUUGAAGGACCACCAGUGGCGAAGGCGUCUCACCAGAACGGACCUGACGGCAAGGGACGAAAGCUAGGGGCACGAACCGG
This 379-nucleotide ribosomal RNA is filed under the name uncultured archaeon. RNAcentral's name for it is "bacterial SSU rRNA". It matches the Rfam family "Archaeal small subunit ribosomal RNA", at positions 347 to 727 of the family's 1478-position model. The record is from RNAcentral.